AUUGAUAAAUAAAAGGUAAAGUAAAUAGGCGCAAGACCAUUGGAAGAAAACGCGUCUUCUGUGUAUCCGAGAGAAAGCUUGGCGAGAUCUCGCAAUCGCAUCGGCUCAGAUAUCGAUCUCCACCAUCCCGUCUUCCGGUUUCUUAAUUCGCCGUCCGGUAAGACCUUCCGGUAUUUGUGUGAAUCGGAAGAGAGGAAGGGGAAAACUUAUCGCGUUCCUGGAAAUUGAGUGUUUAGGGUUUCUUUUUUCUCAUCGGUCUUCUUUUUUUUUCCCUGAUUCUGAUUUUGAUUUCGUCGAGUGUUUUUCGUAAUUGGUUUAUCGAUCGUCUUUUUGGUUCGAUUGCUGAAAAAUAAUUGAACAAUUUAUCGAAUCUGCUUAUCGUGAUUUGAUUCUCUAGGAUUUUCCCUAGGGUUUCGUUAAUUGGGGUUGUUUCUAGGGUUGGUGUUUUUCUUAAUUCUCUUUCGAUCAAUUUCUCAUUGAGAAGAAUACGAUGGCGGCAGGGGGAGUUGACGUCUCCAGAAGUUCUGUUGCAGCCAAAAAAGACUACGACUUUUACAGGAAUGGUACUCGUGAUGUAUAUUUACGACAGAGUGGUAGAGAUGGCGAGAGACGUCAAAUCAAACGACCCAACGACCAAGGUCUCAGGAGGAAUGAUGACGAGCGUCACCGACCACGUUUGGCUUCUGAGAAAGGACAAGUACGAGAGAGAGAGGAGGUUCAGAGACCCCCUGAGAAAAGGAGGAAGUUUUCCCCCAUCGUGUGGGAUGUUGAAGCUAAAGUGGCUAAAGCUCCGUCUAGGGAGAAGACCAAGUCUCCUUUCACUAUUCCGACUACAAAUGAGGUACCCAAUCAGAAUGUUGAUUUAAGUGUUACCAGGAAGGCUUCUUCAAAGGAUCAGGUCAGUGUUGUGAUGUCACCAGAACCAGGUCAUCUGACGCCAGUGCAGCCUUUAGAAGCUCGGCUCUCUGGGAAACAUCCUGUUGAUGAUUUGGAGGAGGGUCAGUUGGAGGAAGAACAGGUGAUGCAGACACCACCUGUUAAUACAUCUAGAUGGGGUACUACGGUUUUAGCUUCCCCCAAGGAGGAGUUAAUAUCUCUUGCUGAUAAUGUUCCCAGGACUAGCAGAUGGAACAGGAGCAGUUUGACUCCGGAGUGUGGGGAGUUAGUGGUGACUGAUCAACAGCAGUGCAACUCAUCUGGAUCUGGCAGCGGACAUCACAGCUCAGAGAAGCUCAGUGCUGAUGAAUUUUCUGAUCGUGAGUAUUGUAGUUCUGAUCAUGAUGAGUUAGAAAAUGAAGAACCAGCUUCUUCAGCUCAGGGAGGGAUGAACAUGCUGCUAGGGAGCAGGUCUGUGAAUAACUUUCAGAAGCUAAACAAGAUAAACGAGGGAACUUACGGAAUUGUUUAUAAAGCAAGGGAUGAGAUAACAAAGGAGAUUGUGGCACUUAAAAAGAUCAAGAUGAAGGAAGAUAAGUACGAAGAAGAGUACGGAUUCCCUUUAACAUCUUUGAGGGAAAUUAACAUUCUUUUGUCAUGCAAUCACCCUUCGAUAGUGAACGUGAAGGAGGUUGUGGUUGGAGGGAAAACCGAUAGUGAUGUUUAUAUGGUCAUGGAACAUUUAGAACACGACUUGAAGGGCUUAAUGGAUAGAAAGAAGCAACCUUUUAGCACCAGCGAGGUCAAGUGCUUGAUGAUGCAGCUAUUGGAGGGUGUGAAAUACCUUCACACGAAUUGGAUUAUCCACAGGGAUCUGAAGCCAUCUAAUCUCCUAAUGAAUAACACUGGGGAGUUAAAGAUAUGUGAUUUUGGGAUGGCGCGCCAAUAUGGGAGCCCUAUCAAGCCUUACACCCAGAUGGUUGUUACUCAGUGGUACAGGCCACCUGAACUUCUUUUAGGAGCAAAAGAGUACUCUACAGCAGUUGAUAUGUGGUCAAUCGGCUGCAUUAUGGCGGAACUGUUGUCUCAAAAGCCUUUGUUCCCGGGCAAGAGUGAACUUGACCAACUUCAGAAGAUCUUUGCGGUUCUUGGAACGCCAAGCGAGGCAAUCUGGCCUGGAUUCUCAUCGUUGCCCAAUGCCAAAGCCAAGUUUCCCACACAACCGUACAAUUUGUUGCGUAAGAAGUUUCCAGCUAUAUCAUUUGUAGGUGGUCAAAUUCUUUCGGAACGUGGAUUUGAUUUGCUGAAUGGUUUACUAACUUUGGACCCUGAGAAACGUCUAACAGUGGAAGAAGCUCUCAACCAUGGUUGGUUCCAUGAAGUACCUCUCCCAAAGUCACAGGAUUUCAUGCCGACAUUUCCUCCAAAGCGCUAGCUGAGAGACACUGUCAUCAUUUGGAGGAGAAGAUUUCAAAUAAUAUAUUUGAGCAUAGGGAAGUCCACUAGCUGAAUUUGGGCAUACUAGUGUACCAUUUAUUCGGAUUCAUAUGUAAAUAUGAGAGUUGGUCCGUGAAACCGAAAGAAGGUAAACGCAAAGAGUUAAUCAAAAACGUGGAAAAGAAAGUAGCCAUCAGUAAGUUAUUUUGAUUACUUCUUUACGCUCUAUAUGAAAUUUGGUCUGUUGGUGGAUAUCCCUCUCGUCGCGUUGUUUUUUUUUUUUUCUUUUUCUUUGAGGUGCUCGCUUAUGUUUGGUCAACAUGGCCGAGAGAAGAGAAUGCUUCCUGGUGAGUUUCCGUAAACAUAGAGUCUCUCUACAUCAUCAGGCACUUAGAAGAGCAACCGAGAUAAAACGUAUAAACGGCCGAGAUCUCAAAAGGCCCGAUCAGUUACAAAGAGGCAAUGGAGAAAGAAUAAUUCUUAUCAACAUAUAAAUGGUUAAAUUAUAAUGGCUAUAAAUAAAGCGUGUCACUCCCUCUGCUAUUUGUAAGUCAUAUGAAGUAGUUAUCAUACAGUAUGUGGAAACAAACGCAUUUUUAUGAGUAACAAGAUGUAAAUUGAGAGUAACAAGGUGUUGUCGAAUUUACGAUUGCCAAUUCGAAAUC
Eutrema salsugineum is the source of this 2978-nucleotide RNA transcript. It is a transcript of the gene named cyclin-dependent kinase G1, with no coding region annotated. Lineage: Eukaryota; Viridiplantae; Streptophyta; Magnoliopsida; Brassicales; Brassicaceae. The record is from RefSeq and is a predicted model, not a curated record. The transcript has 6 exons.